UCGUAUAUCUUGAUUUUCAGGUAUGUGUACAUUACAUUCUAUUGUACUCACUCUUGUCAAAACUUGUUGCAACAUAUCAUUGAUAUUUUCAAAUUUUCGACCAAUUCUAUUUUUAAACUCCAUAAAAUCAGAUUUCGAGAAUGGGCAUACCUCUGGUAAAUCAUCAUCAUUGAUAUGAGCAGAUUUACCUCGAGACAUGCUUUACUGUUGACUAGGAAUGUUGACUUGCUCUGAUACCAACUGAUGUAGCAGUAACGCGGAAGAUAACAAGUUUGGGUCUUGAAUCCACAAAACUCAAAACUUGGAGAAGAAACCAACUUCUGAAUCCACAGAUUCGGAAUCUUCAGCCCUUGAGUCCACAAGGGGUCGCCUGAAUCCACAAGUAAAAAAGGAGAACUCUCA
Molecule: long non-coding RNA, 402 nt
Filed under: Spirodela polyrhiza (greater duckweed)
Lineage: Eukaryota; Viridiplantae; Streptophyta; Magnoliopsida; Alismatales; Araceae
Description: long non-coding RNA (SPOL_LNC001673)
Source: RNAcentral